CCAGACUCCUACGGGAGGCAGCAGUGAGGAAUAUUGGUCAAUGGGCGAGAGCCUGAACCAGCCAAGUCGCGUGAGGGACGACGGCCCUACGGGUUGUAAACCUCUUUUGCCGGGGGACAAACGGCGGCACGCGUGCCGUCCUGAGGGUACCCGGAGAAAAAGCAUCGGCUAACUCCGUGCCAGCAGCCGCGGUAAUACGGAGGAUGCGAGCGUUAUCCGGAUUUAUUGGGUUUAAAGGGUGCGUAGGCGGGAUGCCAAGUCAGCGGUAAAAAUGCGGUGCUCAACGCCGUCGAGCCGUUGAAACUGGCGUUCUUGAGUGGGCGAGAAGUAUGCGGAAUGCGUGGUGUAGCGGUGAAAUGCAUAGAUAUCACGCAGAACUCCGAUUGCGAAGGCAGCAUACCGGCGCCCUACUGACGCUGAGGCACGAAAGCGUGGGUAUCGAACAGGAUUAGAUACCCGAGUAA
RNAcentral lists this ribosomal RNA (464 nucleotides) under uncultured bacterium. Its description in RNAcentral is "bacterial SSU rRNA". It matches the Rfam family "Bacterial small subunit ribosomal RNA", at positions 331 to 793 of the family's 1533-position model. The record is from RNAcentral.